Molecule: ribosomal RNA, 446 nt
Filed under: uncultured bacterium
Lineage: Bacteria
Description: partial 16S ribosomal RNA
Rfam family: Bacterial small subunit ribosomal RNA
Source: RNAcentral
CCUACGGGAGGCAGCAGUCGAGAAUCAUUCACAAUGGGGGAAACCCUGAUGGUGCGACGCCGCGUGGGGGAAUGAAGGUCUUCGGAUUGUAAACCCCUGUCAUGUGGGAGCAAAUUAAAAAGAUAGUACCACAAGAGGAAGAGACGGCUAACUCUGUGCCAGCCGCCGCGGUAAUACAGAGGUCUCAAGCGUUGUUCGGAAUCACUGGGGGUAAAGCGUGCGUAGGCUGUUUCGUAAGUCGUGUGUGAAAGGCGCGGGCUCAACCCGCGGACGGCACAUGAUACUGCGAGACUAGAGUGAUGGAGGGGGAACCGGAAUUCUCGGUGUAGCAGUGAAAUGCGUAGAUAUCGAGAGGAACACUCGUGGCGAAGGCGGGUUCCUGGACAUUAACUGACGCUGAGGCACGAAGGCCAGGGGAGCGAAAGGGAUUAGAUACCCGAGUAGUC